Molecule: long non-coding RNA, 570 nt
Organism: Oncorhynchus tshawytscha (Chinook salmon)
Lineage: Eukaryota; Metazoa; Chordata; Actinopteri; Salmoniformes; Salmonidae
Source: Ensembl
ACAGAGGAAGAAAGAGGAGGUGGGGGAGAGGUGUGAGAGGGGGUCAAAGACAGAAAGGGAAAGAUGAGAACAGAGGAGCAGGGAAGAAAGAGGAGGUGGGGGGGUCAGAGGUGUGAGAGGGGGUCAAAGACAGAAAGGGAAAGAUGAGAACAGAGGAGCAGGGAAGAAAGAGGAGGUGGGGGAGAGGUGGGGGAGAGGUGUGAGAGGGGUCAAAGACAGAAAGGGAAAGAGAUGAGAACAGAGGAGCAGGGAAGAAAGAGGAGGUGGGGGAGAGGUGUGAGAGGGGUCAAAGACAGAAAGGGAAAGAGAUGAGAACAGAGGAGCAGGGAAGAAAGAGGAGGUGGGGGGAGAGGUGUGAGAGGGGUCAAAGACAGAAAGGGAAAGAGAUGAGAACAGAGGAGCAGGGAAGAAAGAGGAGGUGGGGGAGAGGUGUGAGAGGGGUCAAAGACAGAAAGGGAAAGAUGAGAACAGAGGAGCAGGGAAGAAAGAGGAGGUGGGGGGGAGGUGUGAGAGGGGGUCAAAGACAGAAAGGGAAAGAGAUGAGAACAGAGGAGCAGGGAAGAAAGAGAG